ACGUCGACAUUCCUUUAGCGACGGAGAGAGAGAGAGAGAGAGUGAGAGGGGGUCCAGCAAUGCAUUCAAUCCGUUUCGAGGUACAGCCAGGGGCUCAGGAGAGCCACCGGUCAACCAUGAGGGACCCCUGGAGCUGAUUGGUCCUCAGUGGGCAACCUUCUGAACUAUGACAACUGCAAGCAAACUGACUGAAGCCCAAAUGAUUGCAGUAAAUGGCCUCGGAUCUCUGUUUGGACUUUGUUCUUUGAUGAGUACUGCACGUAGCCUACCUACAUAUUACAAUGUUCAAGUCCAAUUCAAGCUGACGCUGAUAAAGACAGUUGGGCAACGCAAUUAAAUGAUAAGUGAUCUUCCAAACUUUACAGAUAGCACAUCUUUCCUGCUAACUUUUGUCUGAGGAGAUUUAAUGCAAAUUACUCAUUAAACUAGCCUUAUGACCUUAGUACCCAGGUCACAACCAGUAUAGGCUAAAGAUGAAAUUAAGUGUCCAUGCUUAUAUCCAUGAAUGAUAGUACUUUGCUGUUAGUUCCUCUUGGUCUAGAUCCAUAAUUUGGAUUUAUUGAAUCAUAAAAUGGAAAACACUAAACAUUUUGUUCCUCAAUUGUCAAAAUUAAUAAUGAAAUAUGAGAACACUUUAAUGGCAUUCAAUUUUCAUUAAUAUGAUUUUGUUCAAUAAUAAUGUUAUAAUUUAUCUUUUUCAGCAGUGCAUCUGAUGGUCAAUUUCCUGUCAUGAACACUUCAAUAUUCAUGGGAGGACCAAUGCACCCAUUAUCAAUCAAUCAAGAACACCAUUUAUAUAGAAGAAAAAAAAAACGACCUUCCGAGGAAUGGCUUGAUAACCCUGGAUAUACUUGCUGUAUCUUUUUACCAGGACAUUGUCAGAACUUGUCCUGAGAUUUCUCCGAGGAAGAACAGCAUACCUUACACGUUAUAUCCUGAGUUUAAAGGUCUCAAGCACAGUUUCAUCAGAGUUAUCUGACUCCUUAAGGGUC
This is a long non-coding RNA of Carassius auratus (goldfish), 992 nucleotides long. RefSeq lists it as uncharacterized. Lineage: Eukaryota; Metazoa; Chordata; Actinopteri; Cypriniformes; Cyprinidae. The record is from RefSeq and is a predicted model, not a curated record. The transcript has 3 exons.